GGGCUGGAGUUGGGCUGUUGGGAGGACUGGGGUUGGGCUGUUGGAGGUACUGGAGGACUGGAGUUGGGCUGUUGGGAGGACUGGAGGACUGGAGUUGGGCUGUUGGGAGGACUGGAGGACUGGAGUUGGACUGUUGGGAGGACUAGAGUUGGGCUGUUUGGAGGACUGGAGGACUGGAGUUGGGCUGUUGGGAGGACUGGAGGACUGGAGUUGGGCUGUUGGGAGGACUGGAGUUGGGCUGUUUGGAGGACUGGAGGACUGGAGGAAUGGAGUUGGGCUGUUAGGAGGACUGGAGGACUGGAGGACUGGAGUUGGACUGUUUGGAGGACUGGAGUUGGGCUGUUGGGAGGACUGGAGGACUGGAGAUGGGCUGUUUGGAGGACUGGAGGACUGGAGUUGGACUGUUGGGAGGACUGGAGUUGGGCUGUUGGAGGUACUGGAGGACUGGAGUUGGGGUGUUGGGGUACUGGAGGACUGGAAUUGGGCUGUUGGGAGGACUGGAGUUUGGCUGUUGGGGUACUGGAGGCCUGGAUUUGGGCUGUUUUGAGGACUGGAGGACUGGAGUUGGGUUGUUGGAGGACUGAAGGACUGGAGUUGGGCUGUUAGGAGGGCUGGAGGACUGGAGGACUGGAUUUGGGCUGUUAGGAGGGUUGGAGGACUGGAGUUGGGUUGUUAGGAGGACUGGAGGACUGGAGGACUGGAGUUGGGCUGUUUGGAGGACUGGAGUUGGGUUGUUGGAGGACUGAAGGACUGGAGUUGGGCUGUUGGGAGGACUGGAGUUGGGCUGUUAGGAGGGCUGGAGGACUGGAUUUGGGUUGUUAGGAGGUUUGGAGGACUGGAGUUGGGCUGUUAGGAGGGCUGGAGGACUGGAGUUGGGCUGUGAGGAGGGCUGGAGGACUGGAGGACUGGAUUUGGGCUGUUAGGAGGGUUGGAGGACUGGAGUUAGGUUGUUGAAGGACUGUAGUUGGGCUGUUAGGAUGGCUGGAGGACUGGAGGACUGGAUUUGGGCUGUUAGGAGGGUUGUAGGACUGGAGGACUGGAGUUGGG
Molecule: long non-coding RNA, 1047 nt
Organism: Oncorhynchus tshawytscha (Chinook salmon)
Lineage: Eukaryota; Metazoa; Chordata; Actinopteri; Salmoniformes; Salmonidae
Source: Ensembl